GAUGAACGCUGGCGGCGUGCCUAAUACAUGCAAGUCGAGCGAACAGACGAGGAGCUUGCUCCUCUGACGUUAGCGGCGGACGGGUGAGUAACACGUGGAUAACCUACCUAUAAGACUGGGAUAACUUCGGGAAACCGGAGCUAAUACCGGAUAAUAUAUUGAACCGCAUGGUUCAAUAGUGAAAGACGGUUUUGCUGUCACUUAUAGAUGGAUCCGCGCCGCAUUAGCUAGUUGGUAAGGUAACGGCUUACCAAGGCAACGAUGCGUAGCCGACCUGAGAGGGUGAUCGGCCACACUGGAACUGAGACACGGUCCAGACUCCUGCGGGAGGCAGCAGUAGGGAAUCUUCCGCGAUGGGGGAGAGCGUGACGGAGCAACGCCGCGUGAGUGAUGAAGGUGCUCGGAUCGGAAAACUCUGUUAUUAGGGGAGAACAAAUGUGUAAGUAACUAUGCACGUCUUGACGGUACCUAAUCAGAAAGCCACGGCUAACUACGUG
Molecule: ribosomal RNA, 497 nt
Filed under: uncultured bacterium
Lineage: Bacteria
Description: partial 16S ribosomal RNA
Rfam family: Bacterial small subunit ribosomal RNA
Source: RNAcentral